AUGGAGCUGAGCGGAGCCAGCCUCUCCUUCGUUUUACUCAUCUCAGUGUACGUGAUAAUAGUUUCCUUGCUUAGCCGCAAAUUAUUAGCAAGUUGUAAGAAGCGGCGGCCUCCUGGCCCAUGGAGUCUACCCUUGAUCGGAAACCUGCACCAGAUCCUCACGACGAAGCUGCCGGUCGUCCUCCGGGACCUGGCCGAGAAGCACGGGCCGGUUAUGUACCUUCGGCUGGGCCAGAUCGACGCGGUGGUGGUCUCCUCGCCAGCGGCAGCCCAGGAAGUGCUCCGGGACAAGGAUCUCACAUUCGCGUCCCGGCCGAGCAUUCUGGUCACCGAGAUCACCCUCUACGGAAAUCUCGACGUCGCCUUCGCGCCAUACGGCGCAUACUGGCGGACGCUGCGCAAGAUCUGCACGGUGGAGCUCCUGAGCGACCGGAAGGUGAGGCAGUUUUCGCCGGAGAGGGACAGCGAGACCAUGUCCCUUGUUAGGAACGUUGGCGAGGCCGGCCGGGGUGGCAAGCCGUUUAACCUCGGCAGGCUGUUGGUGGCGUGCUCGUACUCAGUAACAUCGAAGACGGCGUUUGGGGACAAGUGCAGCUCCGAGCUCCAGCAGCAGUUUGUGUCGGCCAUGGAUGCGGGGCUGAAACUCAGCGCCGGGCUCUGCGUCGGAGACGUCUUCCCGUCGCUGUGGUUCGUCGACGUGCUCACCGGGCUGAGAGGCCGGCUAUGGCGAGCCCGCCGGCAGCAGGAGAAGGUCCUGGACAACAUCAUCUCUCAGUCGGAGAUGCGGCCAGGUGAUCACCUUCUAAGCGUUUUGCUUAGGAUCCGGGACGAGGGGGAGCUUGACUUCCCGAUGGAACUGGAUAACAUCAAGGCAAUCAUAAUGGAUAUGUUCACGGCCGGCACGGAGACAACAUCAUCAGCCGCCGAGUGGGUCAUGUCAGAGCUCAUGAGGAACCCGGAAGUGAUGACCAUGGCGCAGGAUGAGGUGCGACGAACGUUCAAUGAUAAGAGCCCACAAGACCAUGAUGGACACGUAGCGGAGCUGCACUACACAAAGAUGGUAAUCAUGGAGAGCAUGAGGCUAAAUCCAGUGGUGCCGCUGCUGCUUCCCCGUGUCUGUCGAGAGACCUGCGACGUCGGCGGGUUUGAGGUCACCAAGGGUACCAGGGUUAUGGUAAAUACCUGGGCGUUGGGCAGGAACCCCGAGCACUGGCAUGAGCCAGAGGAGUUCAGGCCAGAGAGGUUCAAGAAUGGCGCAGCUACCUACAAAGGAUCGCGGUUCGACUAUUUGCCGUUCGGUAGCGGGAGGAGGAACUGCCCCGGCGAUAACUAUGGGGUGGCUGUGUUGGAGCUCAUAGUGGCACGGCUUCUCUACUACUUUGAUUGGAGCCUCCCCGCCGGAGUGAAACCAAGUGAGCUGGACAUGGAAAUGAUCGCUACCGUAAGCUCAAGGAGAAAGAACCAGCUGCACAUAGUGGCGACACCGUAUGAGGCAUGCAGUUGUUAA
RNAcentral lists this ribosomal RNA (1506 nucleotides) under Triticum aestivum (bread wheat). RNAcentral describes it as "partial small subunit ribosomal RNA". The record is from RNAcentral. Lineage: Eukaryota; Viridiplantae; Streptophyta; Magnoliopsida; Poales; Poaceae.